This 230-nucleotide ribosomal RNA is filed under the name uncultured bacterium. Its description in RNAcentral is "partial 16S ribosomal RNA". It matches the Rfam family "Bacterial small subunit ribosomal RNA", at positions 562 to 791 of the family's 1533-position model. The record is from RNAcentral.
AAAGCGUGCGCAGGCGGUUAUGUAAGAUAGAUGUGAAAUCCCCGGGCUCAACCUGGGAACUGCAUUAGUGACUGCAUAGCUGGAGUACGGCAGAGGGGGAUGGAAUUCCGCGUGUAGCAGUGAAAUGCGUAGAUAUGCGGAGGAACACCGAUGGCGAAGGCAAUCCCCUGGGCCUGUACUGACGCUCAUGCACGAAAGCGUGGGGAGCAAACAGGAUUAGAUACCCCUGU